This 435-nucleotide ribosomal RNA is filed under the name uncultured Pedobacter sp. RNAcentral describes it as "bacterial SSU rRNA". It matches the Rfam family "Bacterial small subunit ribosomal RNA", at positions 358 to 790 of the family's 1533-position model. The record is from RNAcentral. Lineage: Bacteria; Pseudomonadati; Bacteroidota; Sphingobacteriia; Sphingobacteriales; Sphingobacteriaceae.
GGAAUAUUGGUCAAUGGAGGCAACUCUGAACCAGCCAUGCCGCGUGCAGGAAGACGGCCCUCUGGGUUGUAAACUGCUUUUAUUCGGGAAUAAACCUACUUACGUGUAAGUAGCUGAAUGUACCGAAGGAAUAAGGAUCGGCUAACUCCGUGCCAGCAGCCGCGGUAAUACGGAGGAUCCAAGCGUUAUCCGGAUUUAUUGGGUUUAAAGGGUGCGUAGGCGGCCUAUUAAGUCAGGGGUGAAAGACGGUAGCUCAACUAUCGCAGUGCCUUUGAUACUGAUGGGCUUGAAUGGACUAGAGGUAGGCGGAAUGUGACAAGUAGCGGUGAAAUGCAUAGAUAUGUCACAGAACACCGAUUGCGAAGGCAGCUUACUAUGGUCUUAUUGACGCUGAGGCACGAAAGCGUGGGGAUCAAACAGGAUUAGAUACCCCGG